GGUUAGAUCUAAACUUUUUUCUUUUCUUCUAGAGUAUAUGUAUUUUGUGAGUUAGAAAUGAUGCAUUAGACUAACUGAAUCUCAUCUGCUCAAAGUUUGCUUGAAAUUUAUUCGUUUAGAUAUUCUGUAUAUGUUGUGACCCAAACAUGAUUUAGAAGUUAGAAAUCAUAUCCAAAGUGUUCAAGCAGUUUCUUAUGCAAUUGGUGCAUGAAUGUAUUAUAUUUGUGUUUAAGUACUGUUAAAAAUCAUGAUCUCAAGUUAUAUAAAUCUUUCUUUAAAUCCCUGACGUUGUUUGGCCCGGUGAUUUUAGUUUGUGUUUUACGAAUGAUGUAGAAUGUUGUUGUUUUUGUGGUUGAGUAUGUGACAAGAGAAUACGAUCUGAACUUUCUUUUGCUUCAGAGUUAAAAAUCCUGCCUAUAUGUUAAGGCUAAAAUGGUUCAGAUAUAUUUAAACAUCACUACAGUUGGUUAUUCAAAUCUGAAUAUAGACAAUAAGUUCUAUUAGAAGCCAUGAUUUUGGAUUGUAUGUGAUUGACUUUGAUCUCAUGUUUGAGUAGUGUAUGACGUUAGAAUAUAAUUCUUUACGCGGUAUUUCAAAAAUUUCAAACUCUGUUCACUCUUUACUUUAUUUGUCACUUAGGAAAACUGAUUUUAGUAUCUUUACUUAAACAGAGAAUGAGAUAUUUAUCUUCUAACUUAGAACGCUAUUUAGGAAGCUUUCUGUCUGCAAAAGUUAGGUUUUUAUGAUUCUAGUUAUCAGGACAUUUACAAUUGUUUGUUUUAAUACGAAUUUGCAGAUUGUAAGUUUUCUUCUCUAAAUUCUAAUAUUUGCUGAGAAUCAUAUGUUCCUCUCUAACUCAUGUUUACUUUCUUCUCUUUGGUUUGCAUGAACACCGGAGCCGAAGAGUUUCACUUUGAAACUCAACGACACCGCUACCGCAUGGAGUGUCUGCACAUCCUCAUUCUUUCUCGUCUCUCAAACGUUGAGUUACAAAGGUCAAAAGUUGUAGUUCAAGAAUAGGAGAAGCAAUUAGAAUGACUACACUGAUGGAUGAUCAUUGUUGGAUCAAAAGCCAAUCAUGCUACUGCUGCCCACUCCUCAGGUAGAAUAUUCAGAAAGGCCCUUAGAUAUGGGAAAGACAGUCUUCAACCUUAUCAGGGAAAGCUAAAUGACUGUGUUAGCGCAGCUUUGUUGUUAUUACAGCUUGGUUGUUGUUAAAAAUUGAAACUUGUUUUAGGUCAUGGAAUAAUUCUGAUACUGGCCAUAUAUGUGUUACCUCAUAACCAAGGUUUAUAGUUUUAAAUUGCUGACUGCAUUCAUGAAUCGGCCAAAUUAAGACUUUCUUCAAACAUUUUAUCGGACAUUAGAGUAAAUGAAAGGUGUACCUAAUUUUCUAUGUUUUCUUCUAACGAUGCAAUAGUCGAUGAGAUGAAUGUCCAGAGGAUAAUUAUGAUGGUGAUCACGCUGCAUCUUUGAGCUUCCAUUGCUAGGAAGUUGGUAUGGAUUUUUGGGUUUGUAGUUUUGUGUUAUUGAACUCUUUCAUGCUAGAAAUGAACGAAAAUUGCCUAGUAUUGGCCGGAAACAACAUA
Long non-coding RNA from Lycium barbarum (goji berry), 1589 nucleotides. RefSeq lists it as uncharacterized. The transcript has 2 exons. The record is from RefSeq and is a predicted model, not a curated record. Lineage: Eukaryota; Viridiplantae; Streptophyta; Magnoliopsida; Solanales; Solanaceae.